RNAcentral lists this transfer RNA (75 nucleotides) under Dehalococcoidia bacterium. RNAcentral describes it as "tRNA-Thr". It matches the Rfam family "tRNA". Rfam says of the family: Transfer RNA (tRNA) molecules are approximately 80 nucleotides in length. The record is from RNAcentral. RNAcentral also lists the same sequence under 2 other names. Lineage: Bacteria; Bacillati; Chloroflexota; Dehalococcoidia.
GCCAGCGUAGCUCAGGGGUAGAGCAACGGUUUCGUAAACCGUCGGUCGUCAGUUCGAAUCUGACCGCUGGCUCCA